AUCCUCACACCUGCAUGACCAUGAAUUUCAACAGCUCCCUUUCACCCACCCAAUAACACGACAGUUAAGAUAACUCCAUGAUUAGUAAUUACCUCGUGCUCAGGUCGGGAGCCAUUUUUCAAAAAAAAAAAAAAAAAAAAAAAAAAAAGAAACAAAAGCAUAAAGGAGCAUGGCGCGCCAGGUGCGCCAAGCCUGUCAUGUUUAUUUUACAUAUUAGUCCGGAGCACCUACGUCUAUGACCCCC
This 244-nucleotide small RNA is filed under the name Histoplasma capsulatum var. duboisii H88. Its description in RNAcentral is "Histoplasma capsulatum H88 hypothetical RNA". Lineage: Eukaryota; Fungi; Ascomycota; Eurotiomycetes; Onygenales; Ajellomycetaceae. The record is from RNAcentral.